Molecule: long non-coding RNA, 762 nt
Organism: Daphnia pulicaria
Lineage: Eukaryota; Metazoa; Arthropoda; Branchiopoda; Diplostraca; Daphniidae
Exons: 2
Source: RefSeq, a predicted model, not a curated record
AGAUGUUCUUGCCGGAUUGGAUUUUUACAGUUACAAACUGUAGUCUCGAAGGCAGACGCGCACACGGAAAGCAGUAGUAGAAUAUAGAUAGUCAUCUUUACUUUAAUUUCUGUACAGAAAGAAUCGGUAGAAAUAAAUUUACUGGGGAAAAAUGAAAAGGUUUUGUUGUGGAGAAAGUCAGAAGUGACUACACGUUUGAUGGUAGAAGAUGGCGCUGUUUAAUUGGUGGGGGUUGGCCCCGCCAGAACGACGCGUCUCUUCAAUCUUGAGAUGUGGUAGCCUUUUUUUUAUAUUGAUUUUAUAGUUUAUAAUGGAGUCUUCUCAGCAGCACGCUCUAGAGCUCGCUCUGAAGUUUUUCUAUAUCCCGGACGACAUUCAUCUUAGCCUAAACGAUAGGCUUCGAUUUAAUUGGCUGCCUCAAUAACCGUUGGGCAGCUGGCAGUUUCUUGUGUUGACGGAGUAUAGGCCUUGAGAAGGCGGUUUUGUUUCUCCAACUUUAAGUGAGCGUUUAAUGUGCAGUACCCUGGUUACGCGAGGUAUCAUGAUGUUUUCGAUAUUCCGUCGGCUCGCUUUUUGUGGUAUUGCGAGUCAGGAAUAGAUGUUUUCUUUCCUGAGGGCAUUUCUUUCGACGUUGAGGAACUGGAGUUUCCCGAUAUGGGUCGACUCCACAUUGGUGAUUGAAGGCCGUCGAACGAAAUCUGGCGUUAAUUUUGUUUUAUGUUGUAUUAUGGUGGUUGUUUGAAUACAAUGCCUUUUUCCAUU